Molecule: long non-coding RNA, 2321 nt
Organism: Dermacentor silvarum
Lineage: Eukaryota; Metazoa; Arthropoda; Arachnida; Ixodida; Ixodidae
Exons: 2
Source: RefSeq, a predicted model, not a curated record
AUAUAUAUAUAUAUAUAUAACACGUGACCGGCUACCCACACUUCACACACGUACACUUUUUUGGGACUUUGACACUCCUAAUGCUAACACAUAAAAAAAAAGGUCGUGUUGCUUGCACGUAGGUUUAGUGCAGCUUCACGAUUUGGAACCAUGCACUAUCUCUGUCGAACUGACAUCGUUCUCAGCAAAGCAAAAAUACAAACUGUCCAAUUGAAGGAGACACGCCAAGGUAUUGACACGCUGCGCAAACUGGCUUCGAAUAAAAUUUUUGGCACAUCAAAUUCAACUUUCGAUGUCUGGAGCUACAGUAAUAUAUCGCGUCGAUUCACCACUAGACACGGUCCUUUAAGAACAGAAGGAAAAGUGUUUGUCCCGCAGAACAUAUGGCAAAGGCAAACAAUGACGAUGAUGACGACGUUGAUUCUGGAACUGUCUUGAAUGUCGCUUUAGACUUAAUUUGCCUCAUGACAGUGCUCCACCUAAAUGUUCAUGCACGCCUUCUAAUCAGCUUAUUAUCGCAGCUGCCCGCAGAACUCGCCGGCAGUGCUUCACUGCUUUUUACACCAGUGAGCCGGAAUAAACACUGCGCAUGUGUACCAGAAAUCGCUGGCAUGCACACUCAGGUGUACGUGUUAUGAAGUUUCCCAGAGAGACGUAUCAAUCAGAAUGUAAGAAAAGAAAAAAGAAAGACUGGCUGCGAUAAAACAAGCUCACUCCGAUGAGCACUCGCCCAAACCAAGGUCGAUGCCCAAACUCCCGGCUUCUGGAAUCUCUGGGUGUUACGACAGGAAGACCAGACAACGACAAUAUUUGUAACGGCUUUUCGAAUGAGCAACAUGGGCGAGCUUUCGGACGCUGAGGAAAUUCGCAUAACAGUCCCACAAUGCGCGUGCCGACUGCCUGAAGCUCGAUAGCCAUUGCAUUGAAGUCGCAGUAGGGAACGAUGGUGAGCGUGUUGCAGGGGCCAAAUUCAAUAGUCCAUAUCUCGCUUAAAACAGAACUAAAAUUGAUAUAAUGAUUAAACUGGAACGCCAACAAACAGGCCUAUCUAAUGCACCUCGUGUCACAUUUUUUAAUGGGCCACCUCUUUGCGUAAAUCAGGCCUGAAAGUGGGCCAAGACCAAGUUUUGGUAUGUUCGACUUGUUUUUUUCAGGAAAUUCGUACCGAGCAUUGCCUCUCUAUAACUUUCCCUCGUCGCAAGAUAAGGCACCGAGGGAAAGGGUGCGUGCUCUCGCGCAGAGUAGCGAGAAGGGGCGCGGCUGGGGGACUGUCCCUUGCUCGUUCGCUCUGGCUAUUCGAUGGUUUCUACACAAUUUUUUCACCUUCGUGUAUCUGGACUCCCUAUUACUAGCAUGUUUUACUUUACUUUUUUACGAACCCAAAUGCCGCUGCUUUUUCCUCCGCAGACUGUUCUUCAAACUCCCAAGUCAUCUAGGUUUACAUUUAUCGACCUCAAUUAUAUAAUUUGACGCAUGUCACCGGUUCUUUUGUAAUGCAGUGUAGUAAUUAUUUACCGAUAAACAAAUAACGAGACUCUAGUAGGUGCUGCUAAAAUCUAUGACGUCACGGCGAGCUGAUGUGGAAAUAUCGUCGUCACCUGUCUCAUUCUUGCGUCCUUUUAUGGCUUUAGUAAUAUGGCUUAAUAUUCAUAUUUAUAGUCCCUUUAAAAAGCCUCACUACAAACGUAUACAUACUCCGUGGAUCGUUUUAUUGUUCUCCGAGGCUCAAUUUUCAUCGCAUUACAACAUUCCCUUGGAGACCGUUGUUAGACUAAUUAUACCGCCUUAGUUCCUCACGCAAUCUUGAGUUCUCUUUCAUCAGUAAUUUGCCGCCGAGGAACACCGCAACACUAACAAAUGCAACAGACAGAAAGGGGCUGGAAGACACAUAGAUCACAUUACUUUCCAUAAUACAAGCAGGGUUCAGCAACCGAACUUUUACUUUCUGAAAAUGUUGUGCUUUUCUAAUUGCUCUUUUGUUUAGAGGAUUCUCUUUAGAGAAGUUCCCGUGUCUCUUUGAAGAAACAUUAUUCAUAUUUAGACCAUGCAAAUCUUGAACUAAGAAUACUAUCGUGCAAGCCAGUCAAUACUGAGAUUGGGCAAAAAAAAAAUAUUGAUAUUUGCCUGUUUACUACAGGUGUUGCCUUCUUUUAUUACAUAUACCAGUAACAUGUUCAUUCAGAAAUGCUGCAAACUGGCAAUUGGUUCUUUUCAUAGGAGAAAUUCUUCGGGAGCUUUUUGUUGCUGUUUAAAACAUUUCCCUCAUUUUAUCGUUCUAGUGUUUCUUUGUGUUCAAAGAAAUGGAGAUAUUAGGCCAACCA